GAUGAAGAACGUAGCGAAAUGCGAUACUUGGUGUGAAUUGCAGAAUCCCGUGAACCAUCGAGUCUUUGAACGCAAGUUGAGCCUCAAGCCAUUAGGUUGAGGGUACGUCUGCCUGGGCGUCACAUAUCGUUGCCUGAUGCCAGUUUCCUCGUGAUGGGUGACUGUGCAGGGCGAAUGAUGGCUUCCCGUGAGCAUUGUUGCCUCAUGGUUGGUUGAAAAUUGAGUCCUUGGUAGGGAGCGCCGUGAUAGAUGGUGGUUGAGUGACGAACGAGACCCAAUCAUGUGAGACCCCUACCGAAUUUGGCCUUCAUGACCCACAUGCGUCUUUGGAACGCUCAUGACGAGACCUCAGGUCAGGCGGGGCUACCCGCUGAGUUUAAGCAUAUCAAUAAGCGGAGGA
Molecule: unclassified non-coding RNA, 400 nt
Filed under: soil metagenome
Description: partial contains 5.8S ribosomal RNA, internal transcribed spacer 2, and large subunit ribosomal RNA
Rfam family: 5.8S ribosomal RNA (bases 1-122)
Source: RNAcentral